RNAcentral lists this ribosomal RNA (410 nucleotides) under uncultured bacterium. RNAcentral describes it as "bacterial SSU rRNA". It matches the Rfam family "Bacterial small subunit ribosomal RNA", at positions 30 to 441 of the family's 1533-position model. The record is from RNAcentral.
AUUGAACGCUGGCGGCAUGCCUUACACAUGCAAGUCGAACGGCAGCACGGGAGCAAUCCUGGUGGCGAGUGGCGAACGGGUGAGUAAUAUAUCGGAACGUGCCCAGUCGUGGGGAUAACGUAGCGAAAGCUACGCUAAUACCGCAUACGAUCUAUGGAUGAAAGCGGGGGAUCGCAAGACCUCGCGCGAUUGGAGCGGCCGAUAUCAGAUUAGGUAGUUGGUGAGGUAAAGGCUCACCAAGCCGACGAUCUGUAGCUGGUCUGAGAGGACGACCAGCCACACUGGGACUGAGACACGGCCCAGACUCCUACGGGAGGCAGCAGUGGGGAAUUUUGGACAAUGGGCGCAAGCCUGAUCCAGCAAUGCCGCGUGCAGGAUGAAGGCCUUCGGUUGUAACGUAGUCUUUGUAC